Molecule: ribosomal RNA, 468 nt
Filed under: uncultured bacterium
Lineage: Bacteria
Description: partial 16S ribosomal RNA
Rfam family: Bacterial small subunit ribosomal RNA
Source: RNAcentral
GACGAACGCUGGCGGCGUGCUUAACACAUGCAAGUCGAACGAAAAGGCCCUGCUUUUGUGGGGUGCUCGAGUGGCGAACGGGUGAGUAACACGUGAGUAACCUGCCCUUGACUUUGGGAUAACUUCAGGAAACUGGGGCUAAUACCGGAUAGGAGCUCCUGCUGCAUGGUGGUGGUUGGAAAGUUUCGGCGGUUGGGGAUGGACUCGCGGCUUAUCAGCUUGUUGGUGGGGUAGUGGCUUACCAAGGCUUUGACGGGUAGCCGGCCUGAGAGCGUGAACGGCCACAAUGGGACUGCGAUACGGCCCAGAAUCCUACGGGAGGCAGCAGUGGGGAAUAUUGCACAAUGGGCGGAAGCCUGAUGCAGCAACGCCGCGUGCGGGAUGACGGCCUUCGGGUUGUAAACCGAUUUCGCCUGUGACGAAGCGUGAGUGACGGUAAUGGGUAAAGAAGCCCCGGCUAACUACGUG